This is a non-coding RNA of Camellia sinensis, 1447 nucleotides long. The record is from RefSeq and is a predicted model, not a curated record. NCBI's taxonomy places the organism in Eukaryota, Viridiplantae, Streptophyta, Magnoliopsida, Ericales, Theaceae.
GUCGUGCUGGAUCUGGUUGCAGAUGAUAGUGGUGGCAUGCAGAAACAAAAAUCUAGAUUCCACUGGGAUAAGAGGAGUAAGAAGUACAUCAAGUUAAACAAUGGGGACCGUGUGAUAGCUAGUGGAAAGAUAAAGACAGAGGGUGGUGCAAAAGUAACAGCUAACAAAACUGGCAUAUACAAGAGGUGAAAAGAGCGGUCACAUAAUAAAAUAUCCCUUCAAGGAUCCAGUUAUGAGGGCAAUGCUGAAGAAUCCAAAAGUUUUUCAGGUGAGUGCUUUAAAAUCAGAAACUAUUUGUAUUCAUUCGGGCUCUUGUUCUUUUGAAUUUUGCUGUUCUGUAAUUCUGGAGUUAACACAACUGAGAGAAGUUGUAGGUUUUUGUAUGUAAAUUGCUGACAGACUGUUUAUAGAUUCUUCUGGGGGUGAGCAACUAUAGGAAACAUUUGGCCUUUUUUUUUUAACUAAAUGAAAUAUGUGUUUUGACUUGAAACUUUUGACUUAUUUUGUGAAGAUACACCUAUUUUUGCAGAAAUCUUGCAAUUACUCUUGACUGAAUUGUUGCAUUUGGUGUAAUAGAUUGAUCACUUGUUUCGAACAAUGUGAAUAAGAGCUAAGGGAAUUUUAUGGUUGACACAUUGUGCAGAAAAGCUGUUAAUCUGAUCUGAGAAGUUUUUGUUGGAUCAAUUGUUAAGAUCCUUUUGCUUUAUAGGAAAGACUACUUUACACAUUAAGAAAAAUAUGCAUAUUUUAUUUUUUGAUUAUGAUUUAUUAUGAUUGGCAUGCAAAAGUUCGAUUGUUGAUUUUUAACUUGUGAGAGAGAAUUAGAUUUGGUUGUUGUUUUUCAAAGAUCAGAACCCAACAUGCAUGAAAAAUCUUAUUAUCUGGUUGUCCUCAUAUGGAGGUUUUUGAAUUGAGUUGAGUGUACUGUAGGAGUCACAUGCUCGUAGGCUUGGAAGCAUUAUUUUCAGAGUGAGUUUGAAGGAAUGAUGGGGUUUUUUUUUGUUUUUUUGGUAAGAAGAGUGGUUAAAUGAUUAAUUGUUAGUAAUUGCUUUUUUGUGCCUAGCACAGGGUUCGACAUCAAGGUUAUUACUUGUACCACCAUUGCUCACUGUUUAUUCAAGUUUCCAAACUGGUUUUACUUGCUUUCAUGUAGCAUGCAUUUGAGACCUCCUUGAUUUUGUAGGUGAUUAUUUAUUUGUUUAUAUAGAAGUUAGAGAUUUUAUAGAAGUUUCAUUAAAUCGACUAUUUGUUUAGUGUUGGUAACUUAAUUCUCAUUUGUUCCUCUCUUUUGUGUCUAUAUACACACAUAUGUAUGAAUAUUAACAUUUUUGAGUUCUAUGUUGAUGUGUAAUAAUAAUGCAAUCUUUGAAGUGUUGAUGAUUAUGAUGGGUUCUCACUGGAGGACUUUGUUAAAAUAUGUUUACUGUAUGUGUUCCAUUUUCAAAGA